UACAGAGGUCUCAAGCGUUGUUCGGAUUCAUUGGGCGUAAAGGGUGCGUAGGCGGCGCGGUAAGUCGGGUGUGAAAUCUCGGAGCUUAACUCCGAAACUGCAUUCGAUACUGCCGUGCUUGAGGACUGGAGAGGAGACUGGAAUUUACGGUGUAGCGGUGAAAUGCGUAGAUAUCGUAAGGAACACCCGUGGCGAAAGCGGCUCUCUGGGACGGUACUGACGCUGAGACGCGAAAGCGUGGGGAGCAAACAGG
RNAcentral lists this ribosomal RNA (253 nucleotides) under uncultured bacterium. RNAcentral describes it as "partial 16S ribosomal RNA". It matches the Rfam family "Bacterial small subunit ribosomal RNA", at positions 524 to 776 of the family's 1533-position model. The record is from RNAcentral.